AAAACUCUCCCCCCGUGCAGGUGUCUUCCGGCACAUGGGGGGUUUCUGGUGGAUGCCCACACCUUCAACUGUGUGCGCACCGCCCAAAUCCGCUGUCCGCGAGCCUGAGGAUUGCAGUCGACGUAGUGAGAUUGAAUCUCGUUGGCUGUAAAACCUGACAGAGGCAACGGGACCAUAAGCGCUUUGGCGCCAACACUGUGAC
This 202-nucleotide unclassified non-coding RNA is filed under the name uncultured Hydnotrya. RNAcentral describes it as "sequence contains ITS2". Lineage: Eukaryota; Fungi; Ascomycota; Pezizomycetes; Pezizales; Discinaceae. The record is from RNAcentral.